CAGCUCUGCCGGGGCCUCUACAAGCUGUUCCUGGGCACAGACUGCCUGAGCCUCUCAGACCUGAUGGCCGUGGUGCAGCUGUCCCUCCAGGCUGACCUCGGCGUCCGCCUGGACAUCUGUCGCAAGCUCUUCCACCUCUUCUACGGGCAGCCCGACGUCGUGCGGCUGCUGGCCCGGCAGGCUGGCUGGCAGGACCUCCU
Long non-coding RNA from Myotis brandtii (Brandt's bat), 200 nucleotides. RefSeq lists it as uncharacterized. The record is from RefSeq and is a predicted model, not a curated record. The transcript is spliced from 3 exons. NCBI's taxonomy places the organism in Eukaryota, Metazoa, Chordata, Mammalia, Chiroptera, Vespertilionidae.